Molecule: ribosomal RNA, 507 nt
Filed under: Enterobacteriaceae bacterium
Lineage: Bacteria; Pseudomonadati; Pseudomonadota; Gammaproteobacteria; Enterobacterales; Enterobacteriaceae
Description: bacterial SSU rRNA
Rfam family: Bacterial small subunit ribosomal RNA
Source: RNAcentral
GUCGACCGCCUGGGGAGUACGGCCGCAAGGUUAAAACUCAAAUGAAUUGACGGGGGCCCGCACAAGCGGUGGAGCAUGUGGUUUAAUUCGAUGCAACGCGAAGAACCUUACCUACUCUUGACAUCCAGAGAACUUAGCAGAGAUGCUUUGGUGCCUUCGGGAACUNUGAGACAGGUGCUGCAUGGCUGUUGUCAGCUCGUGUUGUGAAAUGUUGGGUUAAGUCCCGCAACGAGCGCAACCCUUAUCCUUUGUUGCCAGCGNUUNGGCCGGGAACUCAAAGGAGACUGCCAGUGAUAAACUGGAGGAAGGUGGGGAUGACGUCAAGUCAUCAUGGCCCUUACGAGUAGGGCUACACACGUGCUACAAUGGCNUUUACAAAGAGAAGCGACCUCGCGAGAGCAAGCGGACCUCAUAAANUAUGUCGUAGUCCGGAUUGGAGUNUGCAACUCGACUCCAUGAAGUCGGAAUCGCUAGUAAUCGUAGAUCAGAAUGCUACGGUGAAUACGU